UUUCCAAAAUCAAAGUCCUGUAAAUGACCUAAAAUUUAUUUAUUCAUCUCCGUUUUUCUUAUAAUUUAAGUUCCUUUUGAUUGAGUUAAAUCGGGUGCUUUUAUUUUGGUAGUGUUGUACGGCAGGAAGGAGUAUGGCGUGUGACAACAAAAAGUGUAGAAUGUAAAAAAACGGAAAGUUAAGGAAAUAGAAAACGGACAAAUCAUUUAAAGUUCAGCACCUGGCUAAAGGGGACAAGAGCUCCAUGUGGACGAGUGGGUCCAUCAGCGUCCCGGUGACGGAGCGGAGGAGUCGGCCCAGUGUCAGGAGACGCCGGCCGGGGAGGAGGACAGCGACACGGACCUCACCUACGGAGAGGUGGAGCAACGACUGGACCUGCUGCAGCAACACCUGAACAGGUGAACAGACGCCCGAAACAGAACAUCAGACACGAGUUACUGUUACUGCACAACCUCAGAAACGCAUCCAAUGCAGCUCCUCAGUUCUAGGAAUUAAAGGGUCUGAACCCAGAGCACUUCACUGUCCUCCAUUUUUUUCUGCACUCUAAAGUUCUACGUCUCCAUGGAAACACCACAGCCAUGGAAGAAAAGUAGAGGGAACUCGGAAAUGUGCGGUUAUAAUGCCAAAAAAAACAUUUACUGUAAUAGGAAAAAAAACAAACCUGUUCUCACAGGUGUUACCACUGGGGGGGGAGGAAGGGUGAGUCGACAUACAUUAUAGGGAUACUCUACUACUAAUUUUUAAUUUGUUUGUGUCAAUAUAGAAUCCAGUUUUGAUGAAAUGCCUCAAUUUGAAGCAUCACGUUCAGCGUCACACAUGAAGUUUAGAAAGUGUAAUUUUGACUAUUGUUAACCAUGUAAGAGCCAAAUAUAGAAAAAAGAGCCAAAAAAUGAUUAAAAAAUAAAAACAAAUUACAUACAAACCCAAAUAUUGAAGAAAAUGGAUGAAGAGAGCAUGGGGCGGCAUGGCUCAGUGGGUAGAGUGGCCGUCUUGUAACUGGAAGGUUGCCGGUUCGAUCCUCAGCCGCUCGUGUCGCCUCCUGAUGGGUCGUGGUUAGCGCCUUGCAUGGCAGCGUCUGCCAUCAGUGUGUGAAUGUGACGUACCAUGUAAAGCGCUUUGGAUAAAAGCACUAUAUAAAUACAACCAUUUACCAUUUAAAA
Acanthochromis polyacanthus (spiny chromis) is the source of this 1160-nucleotide long non-coding RNA. RefSeq lists it as uncharacterized. Lineage: Eukaryota; Metazoa; Chordata; Actinopteri; Pomacentridae. The transcript is spliced from 2 exons. The record is from RefSeq and is a predicted model, not a curated record.